This 253-nucleotide unclassified non-coding RNA is filed under the name uncultured fungus. RNAcentral's name for it is "sequence contains ITS2". Lineage: Eukaryota; Fungi. The record is from RNAcentral.
AACGCACAUUGCGCCCCUUGGUAUUCCAUGGGGCAUGCCUGUUCGAGCGUCAUUUGUACAUUUCAAGCAUUGCUUGGUGUUGGGUGUUUUGUCCUGCCUCUGAGCGUGGGACUCGCCUUAAAACAAUUGGCAGUCGGCAAUCUGGCGAUAGAGCGCAGCACAUUUUGCGCUCUUCGCUGUGUAUUGCGGCGUCCAUGAAGCCUAUAUUCUAGCGCUUGACCUCGGAUCAGGUAGGGAUACCCGCUGAACUUAA